RNAcentral lists this long non-coding RNA (7496 nucleotides) under Gallid alphaherpesvirus 2. RNAcentral's name for it is "ERL lncRNA". The record is from RNAcentral. Lineage: Duplodnaviria; Heunggongvirae; Peploviricota; Herviviricetes; Herpesvirales; Orthoherpesviridae.
CAAAAGAUCUAAAUUUUACGUAAUGGAUCCCGUCCCGAUCGUCCCCUCACACGUGGCACUGCCGCGUAAACAAUGCCACAUCGUAGAGAAAGCAUAAGGGGGAGGCCAUCGGGAGAUUAUCCCGAGAAUUCAAACUAUUCUUGUAAUGUCGUACGAGCCUCGUUCCGUUCGCUCUUUCAUGCGCAGCAUUACCGGUGUAAAUGUAAUAAUGCCGCACAGUGAACAAGCAAAAGGGGAAGAGAGUCUCCGGAUAGCCGUUACAAUCCAGUAACGACUUAACGCAGAUUACUCCUGCAUAAGCGUCUCUGCGAUGAGGUAUUUUCCAUAUGUUCCUGGAGGUCCGUGCCUGUAUAUUCGUUAAUGUCGACAUCUGCCUAUGUGCCUGUGUAUCGGUGCAUAGGAGUAUGUCUGUGCAUCCCUGUAUAUAUUAUCUGUGCAUAUUUGCAUAAUUCAUAAACGAAUAUUUAAUUACAGUAGUGUUGCGCGAGCCCCGAUCCAUUGAUCUGCUCACGACUGUAGCACUUAGAAUCGCACAGUGCACAGCCAGUGAGCUGGCCACAGGAGAGGGACAUAGGCCUGAUUGCUGGGACGCGGAUGAGAGAUCAAUCGUGUUGUUCCUUACGAUAACCUAAUCAGCACCACCGAAUUAUACGAGACUGCAUUAACUCACAUCUGCUAAAGGUUUCGCUUAUUCCUUUUACAUCCGAAUGUCCAUCCUGUUAUCUUUAAUAUUCCUUAAUGUGCGAUGUCCAUAUCCCUUCUAAAAAAAAAAAAAAAAAAAAAAACAGCCAGGCAUAGUUUUUGAGCCUGGAAAACUUACCGCAGGCUUCAUAGAAGCCAUAUCCCGAAUAAUACUCCAUAUACCCCCCCCCCCCCUUCCCCAACCGUUCUGUAUAGAACGAGAAUUUGCCAUUUAAGCAGUCUGGGGCCGAGAGAUGUUGCCCCAGAAGUUUUCCACAUAGCUAAGUUUAUCUAAUACUUCGGAACUCCUGGAGCCAACAAAUCCCCUGACCAUGUAACUCAAAAUAGUUCUUCCGAGUCUAAGCUACACGGUAAGGAAAAUUUGUUACCCCAGAGGAUUUUUUUAUGUCAGUAAAUCGAUAAAUAAUGCCUUUAACCCUUUCCUUUAUGUUGAUCUUCCCGAAACUAUGAAAACUAUUAUAUAUAACUAGGGGAGAAGAAACAUGGGGCAUAGACGAUGUGCUGCUGAGAGUCACAAUGCGGAUCAUCAGGGUCUCCCGUCACCUGGAAACCACCAGACCGUAGACUGAGUAUCCGAGGGAAACUGAAUAUAAAUCUGGCCCGAAUACAAGGAAUCCUGUUCGGGAUCCUCGGUAAGACGAGCAUAAAGCCUCUCCGGCUCCGGAGCCGGAUGUGGGGGAGAUGGGGUAAAAAGGGGAGCCUGGCCAACAGGACAAAGCUGAGCGUAAACCGUCCCCGGCGAUGGAGGGGUACACGGCUCGGUAACAGGACACAAUGCAGGGAAGAUGCCCUCCGGAGAUGGAGGCUGGGGAGGGCAGAAGAGGGAAUGGGGAGUACAGAUGGGAGGUGGUGGGGUCGAGCAGAGCUGGGCGCAAAGCUCCUCCGCAUCGGGAGGAGGGGGGGUACAGAUAGGAGGUUGGAGGGGGGAAGGCCCCGGAGCGUAGAUAAUAUGGGGAGUAGAGAUGGGAGGUGGUGGGGUCGAGCAGAGCUGGGCGCAAAGUUCCUCCGUAUCGGGAGGAGGGGGGGUACAGAUAGGAGGUUGGGAACCGGAGCAAUGUGGAGCGUUAGGUUCAUCCGGUGAGGGAGGUGGAGGAGUGCAAAUGGGAGGUUCAGGAACGGGAUCGUGCGGGGUGGUAAGCAGUCCAAGGGUCACCGUUAGGGGUACCGCCAUAGGGCAAACUGGCUCAUGACAAGCCAACUGUACACGCAGGGACGUGCACUCAGUCCUUAGAUCUCGAAUUUCCUUACGUAGGUGUUCAUUGGCCCUCUGCAGCUCUUCACAUGCUUCAUGGAGUUUGUCUACAUAGUCCGUCUGCUUCCUGCGUCUUCUCCGAGCGGCGUCACGAUUCCUUUUUCUCCUCCUUUCCAGCUUCUGUUUCUCCUCCUCAGAUAGGCCGUCAGGGAAGGGGUGUUUGGAGGGGCUGUUGGGGAUGUCGUGACUUUUCCUUUUUUUCCGUCUCGAAGUCGACCCGAGAGAAAGAUCGAGGGGGGACGGAUCGUCAGCGGGACUGUAGGGCAUAGCGCCCGGCUCUGGCUCCUGAGACAUCUCUUUACACCUGUACCGUGCCCGCCUUCUCCCUGGUAUACACCUGCAAGAGACGCCUGCCUAGGAAUCAGUGUGCGGAAUUUAUUCUUAACAUUCCAGCACCAACCUCCCCGAACCAAAAUAAUAAUUAAAAAAGCAACACCCACAGACCCGAAAGUAUUGAAGAAUUACACGUUCGCGAACGGUCACAAUUCACCUGUCAUUUUAUAAAGGAGCAAUAGUUUAUUUAAGAGGUAGGUAUAAAUCGAUCAUUUCCCCCCCCCCCCCCCCGUCUCCGUAUCACUCCCGAACCAUUAGAUAUCAGUCGAUCCAGCCCCCCACGUCAUGCAUGACUAUCGUCUUUAUAUCACCGAAUUCGGUUAUUCCAAAUCCGAUUCAAUAUUACAUCACUUCAACGGUGUAUAGACGUUCUACGAUGGUUUUCCAGCGAUCAUUUCCCCCAGAAAGGUCAUGCUGUCAGAACCAUUCGUGGUCACCGAACGAAGGGUUCCGAUACAGCAUUAAACUUCACAGGGGACAUUCAAAACAAGCCCAGAGCCGUCACGUGGAACACGUCUCGAGUCGAUCGCUCCCCUCAAGAAAGCUAUUCUGCGGCAGUCCGUUCCAAGACCUUACAAACGGACUACCGGGCAGAAUACAACUUUCUUUUAGGAGAAUAUACAAAGUACAAUGCGGCCGUCGGAUCGCUCUCGCGAUACGCGGUGUCACGAAGACCGAUACACUACAUACAACUUAAAAAUGUGAACCCCCCCAGCAGAUUCUAUUUCUAGCGGGAGAGGUUUCACAUUUUCAUGCCGCCUGUAGUGAAUCCUGAUCAAGAACAAUGCAGACGACAGGUACUAAAUUCGUCAGUACGUGGCCACAGUAAGUCUGGCUCAUAUCAUCGCUAAGGACUUUUGGCCUCGCGUACGAUCGGCCACUCGGAUCAGAACCCUCCGUAUUAUGCAAACCUUUGGACAUUUACAUUAUACGGAGGGCCUUGAUCGGCGAGGGCAUUAUCCCCUCUCCAUUAAUUAUACCGCCAGGCCUUGAUCAUUUUCCCAUCCUGCUCACCCACCGUCCCAUAUCUCAAACAACGCGAAUUUGUAACACGGGGGGGGGGGGAAGAAAAUAAUGUAUCGAUUGUAUUUAUCGCACCAACUAUUCUUUUAUCCUAACAACAACUAUGUCUGAAACCCUGAAGAUGUUUCAAUACCACCACAAACAGUAGACGACCACGAUACACACGUAUGUAUUUUAAACCGUGUCAAUGUGAUCGCAUACGGUUCAUGACAGUUGAUAAACUUUUAAAAGGCUCGAGUCCGUCUCCCCCCUCUUUUUUUUUUCACGUUCUCCUAAUAUUGGUUACAACCGACUGCUCACACACAUACAACCCCCCUCCCCCACGAUGCUCAUUAGCCUUCAAAAAUUAUAUUUUGAAGUAUGUGAGUCGGGGCACUUUUUCCUGCCCUCGGAGUUUACAACGUACGAUACAGUGAACUCCGGGGGGAAGGAGAAAAACCGCUCCGGCACAAAUUAUAUAUCCGAAUGAGAAUUAUCUCGUGCAUCGCCCGCGUACGGAAAUGUAUAUGAGUAGACUAGAAAAAGUUUAAAAUCUACUUUCCCAUUUUGUUUGGCCCACUUCAUUAGAUCUACCCGAUAUGUUACACUCCCGGAGAUCAGGUCUCUUAGUUAUCCGGGAAUGAUUACCUUACCCGCACUUUGGUUCUAAAUGUCACGAUCGAAAAGCCGGCUGGUAGAGGGAUCGGGCGAAAAGAUCGGGGAGCGGACGGACUGAGCCUUAAGUAGAAUAACUGGCGCGCAGCCAGAUCCUGUAUGAAAGGUAUGUAUUAGAAAUUCGAUUGGCCGAACAGGGCAAUUCGCGCACGAUUAUGCGUAAUCAAGCCCACAGAUCGCACCUUCAACCGAUAAGAGUCUCUAGAUGACAAAUCGACAGUUAGUUGGAAAGUGUUCGGGGGCGGUAAAAUUUACAGGGCCUCUCGACAUAAAGGCCUCUAAAGUAUAAUUCGCUGGUUCUGCUAAUUAGGAAGAGCGGUUCUGAGUAAUCGUCACACCGAUCGCAUAUUUAUGCUGAGGCGAGGGGUAAUGAGAUGAUAAAUCAGCACUUAAGAAAGGGCAUCUGUCUAUCAGGGCCCCAGACAUCAAAGGCACUGCACUAUAAGGUGAUUCACUUAAGCUAAAAUUCCGGGCAUCAGCUAUGAGUAAGCAAUAUCAGUUAUCAAAAAUUUCUCAUGGGAACAGCGACUUAAAAAAAAAAACUUAUAAUAAAAGGAAAUACCUUCAAUACCCAAUGACGUUAUAAACAAUUCCGUAUAAAUCCUGAGGAGCUGCCGCAAAAAAAAAAACUACCCCAUUUCGCGCCAUUGGAACGUAUAGAAUAACAACAACAAAAAUAAAAACGCAGUCGGCACGGUUUCAUAAUUCCAGGAUCAAACCCGGCCGAACGCUCUCGAAAUAUAACACACCCCCUCCCCCGCCGCUACUGGUCCGGAAAUCAUUGAGUUUAGUGGCAAACGACAAACAGACAAAAAUUGUAGAUGCCGCCAGCUAGUUGAGAAGCGCACAGAACAUAUAUCGAGACGCAUGAAGCAACCGACACCGCAAGUUAAUUUACGGCGGUUACUGUACAUUUGCAGUAACUUUUUUUAACCUUGAUCGUACCGUACGCGAAGGGGAGUAUACGAAAGAUAAAAUGAACACGCAUACAGUGAACCAAUAUCCGUAACCUUUUAAUGCUCGACCGAUUUACAGGAUGAGGCUGAAAAAUAUACAUACAUUCAAAAUAAUUAGAAAAACAAAGACAAUGAACGUCCCCGCUACACGUCCGCGUUCGUCUCGGCGACCGCCGUACUUCCGCAAUCGUUUACAGAAGCGUCAUAUCCGUUCUAUUUCCGCAAACAAAGACUUUGAGACAGGAUUUCCGUGUUGUCGUGUCCGGUCAUACAUUCUAUGUAAACAAGGAAGUUAUCCCCUUUGCUUCCGUAUUAUCGAUAAUCGGCUCCGAUCCCGAUUCCGCGGACCAAGCAUUGGCUGCAAACUAUAUCGGAAUGCGCCAGACCUUCUUUGCGCGUCUCCAGACACUUCUGCGAUCGCAGACGAAGAAGCCUGACGUAGGUAUGAUUUUUCCUAUUACCUAUAUUUCCCACCGCCGAAUGAUACAAAUGGGGCGAGAUACUUCUUUUUAGAGUUAACAGUUCCAUUUUUCUUACAUGCUCAAACCUAAACAUGACGUCACACCGAACAGGCGGACGGCAAACUUUCGCCAUGUGUACUGCUUGUAUGCUACAACGGCCAAUCGUGUUCCACAUGCAUGCGACUGCAUGUUUAGGUCUCACCCCUCUCGAACCCUACAACAUCUCCGCUCCAUGUGAUCCGAAGGGAGAUCGAAGAUCGUAGACUCUCUACAUACACCGGCCUCAAUAUACCACGACCGACAGAGAAAGUUGGGGAAGGGUAAGCGAAUCGCAUACACACUUUUCCGGUAGAUGUCAAUGUGCAAAAAAAAAAAAAAGCCUCGAGAAAUUGAGAUGCCAAUUAUUCCUGCUAAUUCUAGGUAUACUCAAAUUUCAUACCGUUGAACUUCAAUAAACAGUGAUCUGUACGAAGCAUUACAUUCUUACAGACUUAUAUGUUCGUGCGUAUAUACAGACGUAUUCUAAGAAUACAUAACUAUACGCAGCGUCUUUCUGCAGUUAUCUAAUGCGUAGCUUUGAUAAUGUGCAAACAGCGACUCAUUAUCCCGCCUAGCUACUAUUUAUACUGGAUUCAGAGGGUCGAUUCCACUUCUUUCUCUUGUGGAAUCUCUGCCAGAACCUCACAGCUCUCGUUUCUACUACGCCAUGUUACAAAGUUGGAAAUUAAGGAGCGAGCCCUCUCACAAAAACUUCUGAUGCGAUCACCAAAACUUGAUGUUCCGUUCCUAGUUGUCGCAGUAUCCGUUUCGAGAUGGAAAGUGGGUCCGCAGUCAAUGCAUCCGGGGUCUGCAACGAUAUCACAGCUGUAAUCAACACGGAUGGUAGGUACACCGGCACACUUUGUUAGUAGAACUUAAUAGUUUUUUUUUUCAGUCCUGCUUCAUAUACACGUUCUUAAUUCUCACUCACAAAAUCCAACAAAGUAGAUAUGUUCUUCCUGAGGCAUAGAAAAGUCCACAUUGCCACCACAAAUAGAUCACGCAUGGAUAUUUACCUCUGCGAAAAUUGGGAUCCCCCAAAGCAUAAUCCCGGAUGAUGAAUCGAGCUCCGUUCGAAGCAGUGAUUAUUCUUUCUGGGGGGGCACUACCUGGGUAACCAAACCUCAUUUUUUUUUUUUUGAGGGGAGAGUGAAAUUCAAGCUUCCCGACACACUUACUAAGUCAGGUAGAGACCCCAACCAAAAUCGGGUGUAGGGAAAGUCCCAGAAUGAACUUGGGAUUAUAUAGAUUGCAGGAGUCUCUGCAAACAUGGGGCGAAGCCACGAGGGAGGAGUUGUCGAUGAUGAGACAAAUCUACUGUCUCAUGAAACAUACCCCUUCCCCCGCUUCCUAUCUCAGCAGAAAAACUCAUAUAGCCUUCCAUACUACCGUAGUAUAAAAACUAUAGAUAAUCCCCUCUUCUGAGUCUAACAGUGACAUUACCUCAUAAAAAAAAACAUAUACACCUGAGUAUGAUCACGAUACGAUUUAUUCUCAGUUGUUAAGGUUCAUUGUGCCAACAUUUUCAGACUUUGCCCCCUCAGCUAAAUCCUUUGAAGCAAUAUUAUCGUUGUUACGUCGUACAUUAAUCUCACCUCAUUAGUACACAUUCAAUCAACAUGUUACAUAUCUAUAGCCUGAUGAUACAUCUCAAAUUAAUCCCACCUCAUUAGUACACAUUCAAUCAACAUGUUACAUAUCUAUAACUUGAUUAUAUCAGAGGUGUCAACAGCUCUUGUACAGACAUAUCCAAUACAGGCCUCCUACACCUGCAGUCUCAAAACUAUUAUAUCAGCAAUACACACUCGGUCAUUCCAUACUAAAUCAAAUCUGUCAUGGCAUACCGUUCCCACCCAGAGCCGUGUCAAUCGACAACUGAGAAGGGUUUCUUUCUGCCGUAGUAUUUAUCAUGUACAAAGACGGAAGCGCGGGGACGUUGAUGGAGGAGUUGCAAACCUGACGUCACAAAACAGCUACGCAGCAAAAGCAGGUAAAGUAUAACCAUAAUCGUGCAACAACGCCCAAAUAGUUUAAAUGGUGCAAUUCGUCAAUAAAUGAAAGUUUCAUGUCGUGUAU